ACUGAUAAUUUCUGUUCAGGUGCUUUGUUAUCAAAGCUUGAAAGGGAACCGGGUGAGAAUCCCGGACGGUUCGGCCACUGUGAAUGGUUAGCUGCUUCCAUAACGCCACUGUCCUGCCCCGGCACUUAAAAAUUGAGUGCCAAAGCGGAUGGGAAGGCGGGAGCUGAGCAAUGAUCCAUGAGUCAGGAGACCUGCCCGAGCAGAACAGCAUAC
Molecule: non-coding RNA, 213 nt
Filed under: Desulfofarcimen acetoxidans
Lineage: Bacteria; Bacillati; Bacillota; Clostridia; Eubacteriales; Peptococcaceae
Also listed under: 1 other name
Source: RNAcentral